Molecule: long non-coding RNA, 1417 nt
Organism: Neofelis nebulosa (Clouded leopard)
Lineage: Eukaryota; Metazoa; Chordata; Mammalia; Carnivora; Felidae
Exons: 5
Source: RefSeq, a predicted model, not a curated record
GAAGAGCGGGGAGGGUGCGGGCGAGGUGUGGGCGGAGUCAGUGUCCCGCCUUUGAGCCCUUCCGCCAAGACUUCAACGAGAGCCGGCUAGGUGCAGUGCGCAGGCGCCGGGCGUAACGCCGCGAGCUGGCCCCGCCCGCGGGCGGUUGGCGGGCUGUGCUGCGGGGCCGACGCAGGAGGGUGGAUGCCGGAGGGAGGGCGCGGGCGCAACCAGAGUCGCAGCCGGGAGGACGGGAGCGUCCGCGGUCCCUCCUGUUGCAGUGAGAGUGGCGCGCGCGAGCGGUGCCCUGAGUCCACAGCCGUGGAGGACCUGAGCCCCGGGAGGGGGAGCUGCCGAAAAUACCUGUUCAGAGCUUUCGGAAUUGCUGGUGGUGAUUCAGGCGCUGAAGACCAGGAGAAUCACCUGCGGAGAGCAUGAGCGAGAAAGGGAGACACAGAAUCUGAAGCAGCCUCUAGGCUCUGAGCUGUCAGCACAGAGCCCAACGCGGGGCUCAAACUCACAGACCUGAACGAGAUCAUAACCUGAACCAAAGUUGGACGCCCAACCGACUGAGCUACCCAGGAGGGAGACGGUGUCCAUGCAGGACCCACAGCCUGCCAAUGAGAGGUGCCCCCCAGCAUAAUGCUCCAUCAGUGCAGGUAAACGGGUCACGGCUCGGUGAAUGAAUGAAUGAACAAACGAAUGAAUGUUAUUGCAGAGGCCUCUAGGCACCUCCCCUGCCCUUACAGUGCCCUCUGAGAGUUUCCUUACCUUAAGGGAGAGGAGCCAUUCUAACUGCCUCACAGGGCUCGUGACUUAAUAUCAAGAGAGAGUGAAGGUUGGUGAAUAAAUGAAUUAAUAAUGAGAAGCACUAAGAAUUAAGUCAGGCUCACAACGCAACAAGGUGAAUCAGUCUCACCCGUUUUGUUUCCUGCCUGGAGGUUCCUGACUGGCUCCCACACCUAUCCCUCCACCUCAUCCAACCCCCUUCCUUCCACAUGGGCUACCAGCGAGACUUCUGUGUAUCUGCAAGUCCCUUGAAUGGCUCCCCACUGCCUGUAAGGCUCACCCAACCCCCGUGGCAUGGAGCCUGGCAGCAAGAGGGCUCCUGUUAAAACCUAAGGUGGAACAGUUCCCUCCUCUGUCCAGAGCUCUCCUAUAGCUCUCGCUGCACUCAGAGUAAAAACCAAAUAUAAUUCUUACCAUGGGCCUUGUGUCCUCCUACUCUCCCACUCUUCUCCGGCCAACUGACCCCUACUGCUGUUCCGCACAUGUGCCAGGCACACUCCUACACCAGGGCCUUUGCACUUGCUGUGCCCCUCGGCCUAGAACCUCUUCCCAAUGGACACCUGCCAGUCUCACUCUCCCACCUCCUUCGUGCCUUUACUCCGGUAUCUCCCUCUCAGUGGGGACUUCCCUGGACACCUUUCCUAAAAUG